Molecule: ribosomal RNA, 253 nt
Filed under: uncultured bacterium
Lineage: Bacteria
Description: partial 16S ribosomal RNA
Rfam family: Bacterial small subunit ribosomal RNA
Source: RNAcentral
GACAGAGGGGGCAAGCGUUGCUCGGAAUUACUGGGCGUAAAGGGCGCGUAGGCGGGAUGGCAAGUCGGUCGUGAAAUCCCUCGGCUCAACCGAGGAACGUCGAUCGAUACUGCUGUUCUUGAGGAUUGCAGAGGAGACUGGAAUUCCCGGUGUAGCGGUGAAAUGUGUAGAGAUCGGGAGGAACACCGGUGGCGAAGGCGGGUCUCUGGGCAAGUCCUGACGCUGAGGCGCGAAAGCGUGGGGAGCAAACGGG